CACUCAGGUUGUCCGGCUUGGCAGCGGCAACACUCAGCGCUGAGCCAUCUCUCCAACCCUCUGGUUCAUUUCUUAUCAGGCUGGAGGUGCACACCUUUAGUGCCAGCACUCGGAAGACAGAAGCAGGAGGGUCUCCGUGAGCUAGAGGUCAGCUUGGUCUACAGAGUGACUUUCAGGACAGCCAGAACUACAGAAUGAGAGAGCAUGUCUCAAAAACAAAAACAAGCAAACAAGCAAAUAGAAAACCUCUAAACCAGCAUUGAAGCAUCAACCAGUGUGUCCUCGCAACUACAGCAGCAUCUGGAAUGUAAGAGGCUCCUUUAAACACAUGACAGGUUCUCUGCUGAGCCUGCCACAGUCUUUUUGAAAUUCUUUUCCUUCCAAAAAGGAAGAAGGAACAAAAGAAAGAAGAUCUGAGAUGGUGCAGGAGACCCAUCGUAAUCUGCUUGAAUCUUCAGGGAAACAGUGGAGAAAUGCUGAUAACAGGUAGCAGAAGUCGGUCACGUUUGGGCAGUGGUGUUGAUGAGACACAUCUGGAGAUGGACAUACAGGCAUCAUGCUGUUUCAGGAUACUAUGUCUAGUUCAACACAAUCAGAUGCUGGAAUUCCAAAAGGAAACAGAAAGGGAUCAGCCACAAAAUGUUCCUUGGUCAUGGUGUCUCUUCGCAGCAAUAGAAGAAUAACUACGACAGAAGCUUACCUCAAAGAGCUUGCUGACACAGCAAGGUGAUUUCACAAGAAGGAGAUCUGAGGCUUAGAGCCAGAGGAUGGGGUGCUGAGGCUGUGAACAAGCAUCCAUAGGAAAAGCAUUGGCCCCUCCAACGGACCUGUUAAUGAUGUCAUGAUGGAAGAGAGGUCACCAAGGAAACAGCAUGAUCCACGAAGAGAAACUGUGAGGUUAUAUCAUUCUUGCACAAAUAAAGCCUGUCUGGGGGGGGGGGUCAGAGAAUGGAGCUUGCCACUAGCUAACCAUAGAGGUCUGGAGGUCUGUACAGACAGACAGAAAGUGACAUAGCUUGGCAGAAACAGGGUAUAAGCAAGGAGAAACAGGAAAUGCCUGUCUUCUGUGCUGAGAUGCUUGGAGGUAAGGUGUGCUGUGGUUUGCUCCUUCUCUCUGAUCUCUCAGCAUUUCCCUCUGUAUCUGACUCUGGCUUUUCAUUAUCUAAACCAAUUAAGAACUCCUUUUACAAAACUGUCUUUAGCUCAUUCCAGAAUGAGAGAGCGUUAGUAGGGGCAGUUCUGUUUCCUGAGAGGUGCAGCCUUCUCUGCUCUUUAGGAACAGAACUUCCAUCUCCUCUCUUUCCUUGCCUCAGGAAAGGGAGGAGCCGCAGCGAGUGAGAUGCCAGGUGGAUAAGAAGACAGCAGGUGCCAGGGAAGAUGCCGGUUAUGUUUCUGUCUCCCGCAGCCAGCUUCAGGCACAAAGCAGUUCAGUGCUAGAGAGAGGAGGAUGGAACAGCACAAAGUACUGACUGUCCUCAGGAGGCCUUCUUUCCUUUGUUAUCCGAAGACUGGCAAGGACACAAAGAUAAUUCCAGCAUCUGUGACAUCUCAGUAUCGGCCUCCUUCAGUCAUCUUUUCCCGUUCAAGUGGAGAUUCUCCUUUGUAUGUUUUCCAUGCCACUGUCAUUUUUCAGCUGGACCCGUGCCAUAGCUUCCCAAGGGGUCUGUGGGAUAGGAUGUUGUUUCAGUCCCCGACGCUUGCAGUGAAGGCUGGAGGAGAGUGAUGCUGCCUAAUUUAUGACUGUGUAGGGCUGCGGUGGAGGAGGCAUGACCACGUGCAGUUGCAACCCGAGCUGCUGGAGUGGAUCCACAUUGAAGAUGAAACUCCAAAUGUUGACAGUGGCCAGGGUCUUUUCAAACAAGCUAGGCCAGAAAGGCUCAACAUUGAUACCAACUAAUUUAAUGAGGGCAGUGAUCUUAUCCUCCACGACCAUCUUCUUUCGAAGGACGAGGGCAGAGCACUUGCAGGCAAGCUCACAGAUGGAGGAUGUGCUAUAG
RNAcentral lists this long non-coding RNA (1997 nucleotides) under Cricetulus griseus (Chinese hamster). RNAcentral describes it as "lncRNA (ENSCGRG00015040612.1)". Lineage: Eukaryota; Metazoa; Chordata; Mammalia; Rodentia; Cricetidae. The record is from RNAcentral.